AAAACUUUCAACAACGGAUCUCUUGGUUCUCGCAUCGAUGAAGAACGCAGCGAAAUGCGAUAAGUAGUGUGAAUUGCAGAAUUCAGUGAAUCAUCGAAUCUUUGAACGCACAUUGCGCCUCCUGGUAUUCCGGGAGGCAUGCCUGUCCGAGCGUCAUU
RNAcentral lists this ribosomal RNA (158 nucleotides) under uncultured ectomycorrhiza (Ascomycota). RNAcentral's name for it is "5.8S ribosomal RNA". It matches the Rfam family "5.8S ribosomal RNA". Rfam says of the family: 5.8S ribosomal RNA (5.8S rRNA) is a component of the large subunit of the eukaryotic ribosome. It is transcribed by RNA polymerase I as part of the 45S precursor that also contains 18S and 28S rRNA. The record is from RNAcentral. Lineage: Eukaryota; Fungi; Ascomycota.